RNAcentral lists this transfer RNA (72 nucleotides) under Candidatus Endomicrobiellum incisitermitis. RNAcentral describes it as "tRNA-Cys". It matches the Rfam family "tRNA". From Rfam's summary of the family: Transfer RNA (tRNA) molecules are approximately 80 nucleotides in length. Their secondary structure includes four short double-helical elements and three loops (D, anti-codon, and T loops). Lineage: Bacteria; Pseudomonadati; Elusimicrobiota; Endomicrobiia; Endomicrobiales; Endomicrobiaceae. The record is from RNAcentral.
GGUGCGGUACCCAAGCGGUAAGGGAGCAGUCUGCAAAACUGUUAUUCGCCGGUUCGAGUCCGGCCCGCACCU